AUGGGCAUCAUGCCCCCCUCCAAGCCGCGGCGCGGCGCUGGGGACGCGGCGACGACGCCCGUGCUCGUCUCCGUCGACGUCGCCUGGCGCCGCGGCCGGCUCCGGCUCGACGGCAUCCUGCGCACCGUCAUCACCCUCGGCUGCUACCGGUGUGCUGAGCCAGCUGCCGAAGGCGUAUUCGCGAAUUUCUCUCUCCUGCUGACAGAAGACCUGGUGGAGGAACCCGACGUAGUCGACCUCGGCACCAUAUAUGAAGAAGACAGAACUAAAUUCCCUUCGAUAACUGGCAGCGAGGACGAGAACAAUGAAGAACAAUGA
This 318-nucleotide ribosomal RNA is filed under the name Triticum aestivum (bread wheat). Its description in RNAcentral is "partial small subunit ribosomal RNA". Lineage: Eukaryota; Viridiplantae; Streptophyta; Magnoliopsida; Poales; Poaceae. The record is from RNAcentral.